CCCUUAGAUGUCCUGGGCCGCACGCGCGUUACACUGAUGCAUUCAACGAGCUUAUAACCUUGGCCGAGAGGCCUGGGCAAUCUUGUUAACGUGCAUCGUGAUAGGGAUAGAUUAUUGAAAUUAUUAAUCUUGAACGAGGAAUUCCUUGUAAUUGUAAUUCAUUAUAUUGUAAUGAAUACGUCCCUGCCCUUUGUACACACCGCCCGUCGCUCCUACCGAUUGAACGAUCCGGUGAAUUAUUUGGAGUAGCUCUGGAAGUUGCAGAACUUCCUAUGUCACGAAAUUUUGUAAACCUUAUCGUUUAGAGGAAGGAAAAGUCGUAACA
This 325-nucleotide ribosomal RNA is filed under the name uncultured eukaryote. RNAcentral's name for it is "partial 18S ribosomal RNA". It matches the Rfam family "Eukaryotic small subunit ribosomal RNA", at positions 1470 to 1796 of the family's 1831-position model. The record is from RNAcentral.